Molecule: small nucleolar RNA, 133 nt
Filed under: Dasypus novemcinctus (nine-banded armadillo)
Lineage: Eukaryota; Metazoa; Chordata; Mammalia; Cingulata; Dasypodidae
Description: Small nucleolar RNA SNORA31 (ENSDNOG00000048681.1)
Rfam family: Small nucleolar RNA SNORA31
About the family: ACA31 (SNORA31) belongs to the H/ACA class of snoRNAs which are thought to guide the sites of modification of uridines to pseudouridines. ACA31 is predicted to guide the pseudouridylation of U3713 in 28S rRNA and U218 in 18S rRNA.
Source: RNAcentral
AUGCACCUCUGAGAGACCCAGAGCAGUUAAUGUCUGCUGCUAAGGUUUUCACUACAGAUGCAAGAAAAAGAAGGCCCUCGUGCUUUCUGUCUGUCUGGUUGUGGCAGCCAAGAUUGAAUGGGGGAAUACAGGA